This 506-nucleotide ribosomal RNA is filed under the name uncultured bacterium. RNAcentral's name for it is "partial 16S ribosomal RNA". It matches the Rfam family "Bacterial small subunit ribosomal RNA", at positions 28 to 523 of the family's 1533-position model. The record is from RNAcentral.
GAUGAACGCUAGCUACAGGCUUAACACAUGCAAGUCGAGGGGUAACAGGAGAAAAGCUUGCUUUUCUUGUUGACGACCGGCGCACGGGUGAGUAACGCGUAUCCAACCAGCCUAUAACUAGGGAAUAACCUUGCGAAAGUAAGACUAAUACCCUAUGAUUUCCUUUGAUGACAUCAGAUUAGGAAUAAAGAUUUAUCGGUUAUAGAUGGGGAUGCGUCUGAUUAGCUUGUUGGCGGGGUAACGGCCCACCAAGGCAACGAUCAGUAGGGGUUCUGAGAGGAAGGUCCCCCACAUUGGAACUGAGACACGGUCCAAACUCCUACGGGAGGCAGCAGUGAGGAAUAUUGGUCAAUGGGCGGAAGCCUGAACCAGCCAAGUAGCGUGCAGGAUGACGGCCCUAUGGGUUGUAAACUGCUUUUAUACAGGAAUAAAGUUAGCCACGUGUGGUUAUUUGUAGGUACUGUAUGAAUAAGGACCGGCUAAUUCCGUGCCAGCAGCCGCAGUAA